CCUACGGGAGGCAGCAGUAGGGAAUAUUGCUCAAUGGGGGAAACCCUGAAGCAGCAACGCCGCGUGGAGGAUGAAGGUUUUCGGAUUGUAAACCUCUUUCGUCAGAGAAGAUAAUGACGGUAUCUAACGAAUAAGCACCGGUUAACUCCGUGCCAGCAGCCGCGGUAAUACGGAGGGUGCAAGCGUUACCCGGAAUCACUGGGCGUAAAGAGCGCGUAGGCGGGAUAGCAAGUCAGAUGUGAAAUUCUAUGGCUUAACCAGAGAACUGCAUUUGAAACUGGUAUUCUAGAGUUUGGGAGAGGUAGGUGGAAUUCCUGGUGUAGGGGUGAAAUGCGUAGAGAUUAAGAGGAAAACUGAUUGCGAAGGCGACCUACUGGAACCUAACUGACGCUGAUGCGCGAAAGCGUGGGGAGCAAACAGGAUUAGAUACCCGUGUAGUC
RNAcentral lists this ribosomal RNA (440 nucleotides) under uncultured bacterium. RNAcentral describes it as "partial 16S ribosomal RNA". It matches the Rfam family "Bacterial small subunit ribosomal RNA", at positions 338 to 795 of the family's 1533-position model. The record is from RNAcentral.